AUCCAGCUGACGAGUCCCACUUAGGACGAAAUGCGCUUUAUCCUGGAU
RNAcentral lists this non-coding RNA (48 nucleotides) under Trichobilharzia regenti. The record is from RNAcentral. Lineage: Eukaryota; Metazoa; Platyhelminthes; Trematoda; Strigeidida; Schistosomatidae.